UACUGAUUGUUAUUACUUAUAUAUUAUCUUUAUGUUAAUAUUGCACACUUUUCUUGUGUUUCUUUUUUAGACUCAGUGGCUGUGGAACACUAGAGAAUGCUGGUACAACUACCCAUAUCAGGCUCUAACGGUGGACCUGCACUACUACUACAUCCUGGAAUUAUCUUUCUAUCUGUCGCUGCUGUUCUCCCAGUUUACAGAUAUCAGGAGGAAGGCAGCCAAAAUGGCAAACUAUGCCAAGAGCCAGAGGCUUUGCAACGUCCUGUUCAUCAUGUUCGCCCUGGUUUUCAUCAGCUCCAGGCUGGGCAUAUAUCCUGUAUGGUAAGAAUAAUAAGAUGUCUAACUCUCUCUCUAGCUCUCUUUCUCGUUUUCUUUCUUUCUUUCUCUAGCUCUCCCUCUAUGUGUGUGUGUGGAGAGGAUUUUUGAAUGAGUGUCUGUCAGGAACAGAUGAUGUGUUCUGACAGUAGGAGACAGUGUUAAUAAUGUACAUGACACUGUCUGAAACCUAUCAAAUAUAAGGAGCUUCUCCCAGCUGUAUAAGAUACAGACAGACUGUGUGCAGAUGUUCAUGUAUCCAGCCUGGAUUGCAUCUGCUGUUUUGUACAGGAUGAUCCUGAUUGCAGAUUGACUAACUGUUGUAAUUAUCUCUCUAGGCCUAUAUUUCGGCUGGCUAGCUCUCAGUUUCUCAAUGACUGCUGCUCAGAGCUGGUUACUGUCAUUGGUUUCAUUAGUAUUUAUAAAUAUUAAGUCGGUCUUGGCAGUUGGCAGUAUGCUCUCUAACCAGCAGCACUGAAUGUGCGAUGCAUUUCUUUCCACCUCUCUCACUUUUGAUGCAUCUUACUUGUUGCCAAGUAAUAGUUACUAUGGCGACCACAACAGCAUAAAGUUUCUAGCCAAUUGAGAGCGUGAGCGUGAGGGAGAUACAGUGUGUAAGAGAGAGUGAGAGAGAGAGGGGGGGGGGAGCAGGAGAGAUGCUUGGGAUCAUAAUUAGUGCAUUACGCAAUGCAAAGUUUUAUUUUUAUCUACUUUAUCUUUAUUAUUCCGCCUGUACAGUGUGUACAGUUUUUGGAUAAGUGCAAUAGUAUAUGUAAAGGGAGUUUCUGGAGGAAAAAUGUUUGUGGCCAUGGCACUCACAUAGGAAUGCAUUGCAAUGGGUCUGUCAGCUUUUUACAGAUACAUAUACAAAAAAACUCUCUACAAACCACCAUUUUUGGAACUGCAACCACCAAUUUUUGCCCAUUUACGCCCAAAUCCAAUAGCAUAGUUUUAUGCAUUAUAUGUAUUAAUUACGGCCGUCAACGUUAAAACUUUAACGCAUACGAUUAAUUUGCAAUCAGUAAUUAUUUUGUUAUUGUGUUCUGUUUUUUUUUUUUUUAACACAAAUUAAUCACGCCACCAAAUUUGACCCCAAUGUCCCCUGUAAUCU
This 1426-nucleotide long non-coding RNA is filed under the name Astyanax mexicanus (Mexican tetra). Its description in RNAcentral is "lncRNA (ENSAMXG00005008816.1)". Lineage: Eukaryota; Metazoa; Chordata; Actinopteri; Characiformes; Acestrorhamphidae. The record is from RNAcentral.